GUUAUCAAUAGAAAAAGUAGGCAGGGCAAAUAGUAAUAAUGCUCACACUCACAGGCUCCUGUCAUCGUCUUUGCAUUAGGCAGCUCAGUCAUAGGCCUCUCACAUGUCUUCUCUCUUUCUUGUGUUAACACAGUUUUAGUAUCAUACAUUGGUAUAUUACAGACAUUGUCACUUGCUGCAAUGUGGGAACAGGAAUGCAAAUAAAAUGCUAAAGAAAUUGUAACAGAUAUGUCCAACAAAGUAACAUUAAUGCUGUGUUGCAUUGGCUGAAGCAUAAUGAUGUGCCUCAAUCUUGCAAUGUACCUCUAUCUUGCAAUGGACCAAGGUACUACUGAUGUCAUCACAUAAUGAGUCUUACAUAAUUCAAGACAAAGGCAUCAAGACAACACUAAGACUAAAAACUGAUUUAUUAAAUUAUUGUGUUUUUUUAUAAUUAUUAUUGUUCAAAUGGAAUAUUUGGCACUGUGCAGCAAA
RNAcentral lists this long non-coding RNA (474 nucleotides) under Amphimedon queenslandica. RNAcentral's name for it is "uncharacterized LOC109590072, transcript variant X2". Lineage: Eukaryota; Metazoa; Porifera; Demospongiae; Haplosclerida; Niphatidae. The record is from RNAcentral.